This 908-nucleotide ribosomal RNA is filed under the name uncultured bacterium. RNAcentral describes it as "bacterial SSU rRNA". It matches the Rfam family "Bacterial small subunit ribosomal RNA", at positions 8 to 963 of the family's 1533-position model. The record is from RNAcentral.
AGGGUUUGAUCCUGGCUCAGAACGUACGCUGGCGGCACGCCUAACACAUGCAAGUCGAACGAAGUAGCAAUACUUAGUGGCAGACGGGUGAGUAACAUGUGGGUAUCUGCCCUUUGGCCUGGAAUAACACGAGGAAACUUGUGCUAAUACCGGAUAAGUCUUUACGGAGAAAGCUUUAUGCACCAUUGGAUGAGCCCGCACUUGAUUAGUUUGUUGGUGGGGUAAUGGCCUACCAAGACUGUGAUCAAUAGCUGAUUUGAGAGGAUGAUCAGCCACAUUGGGACUGAGACACGGCCCAAACUCCUACGGGAGGCAGCAGUGGGGAAUCUUGCACAAUGGAGGAAACUCUGAUGCAGCGAUGCCGCGUGAGUGAAGAAGGCCCUUGGGUUGUAAAGCUCUUUCGUCGGGGAAGAAAAUGACUGUACCCGAAUAAGAAGGUCCGGCUAACUUCGUGCCAGCAGCCGCGGUAAUACGAAGGGACCUAGCGUAGUUCGGAAUUACUGGGCUUAAAGAGUUCGUAGGUGGUUGAAAAAGUUGGUGGUGAAAUCCCAGAGCUUAACUCUGGAACUGCCAUCAAAACUUUUCAGCUAGAGUUUGAUAGAGGAAAGCAGAAUUUCUAGUGUAGAGGUGAAAUUCGUAGAUAUUAGAAAGAAUACCAAUUGCGAAGGCAGCUUUCUGGAUCAUUACUGACACUGAGGAACGAAAGCAUGGGUAGCGAAGAGGAUUAGAUACCCUCGUAGUCCAUGCCGUAAACGAUGUGUGUUAGACGUUGGAAAUUUAUUUUCAGUGUCGCAGCGAAAGCGAUAAACACACCGCCCUGGGGAGUACGACCGCAAGGUUAAAACUCAAAUGAAUUGACAGGGACCCGCACAAGUAGUGGAGCAUGUGGUUUAAUUCGAAGAUACGCG